GGGGCCGUAGCUCACUAGUAGAGUAUUUGCCUAGCAUGUGCAAAGUCCUGGGUUCAAUUCCCAGCCCCG
Molecule: transfer RNA, 69 nt
Filed under: Ictidomys tridecemlineatus (thirteen-lined ground squirrel)
Lineage: Eukaryota; Metazoa; Chordata; Mammalia; Rodentia; Sciuridae
Description: Spermophilus tridecemlineatus (thirteen-lined ground squirrel) tRNA
Rfam family: tRNA
About the family: Transfer RNA (tRNA) molecules are approximately 80 nucleotides in length. Their secondary structure includes four short double-helical elements and three loops (D, anti-codon, and T loops).
Source: Rfam by way of RNAcentral